Molecule: ribosomal RNA, 795 nt
Filed under: uncultured bacterium
Lineage: Bacteria
Description: bacterial SSU rRNA
Rfam family: Bacterial small subunit ribosomal RNA
Source: RNAcentral
AGAGUUUGAUCAUGGCUCAGGAUGAACGCUAGCGGCAGGCUUAAUACAUGCAAGUCGAGGGGCAGCGCGGGUAGCAAUACCUGGCGGCGACCGGCAAACGGGUGCGGAACACGUACACAACCUUCCCUUGAGGCGGGGGAUAGCCCAGAGAAAUUUGGAUUAAUACCCCAUAAGAUAUUGUCCCGGCAUCGGGAAGAUAUUAAAGAUUUAUCACCUUAGGAUGGGUGUGCGUAUGAUUAGGUAGUUGGUGCGGGUAACGGCCCACCAAGCCAUCGAUCAUUAACUGGUGUGAGAGCACGACCAGUCACACGGGCACUGAGACACGGGCCCGACUCCUACGGGAGGCAGCAGUAAGGAAUAUUGGUCAAUGGACGGAAGUCUGAACCAGCCAUGCCGCGUGAAGGAUGACGGCCCUCUGGGUUGUAAACUUCUUUUAUCUGGGACGAAAAAGGGCCAUUUUUGGUCAACUGACGGUACCAGAGGAAUAAGCACCGGCUAACUCCGUGCCAGCAGCCGCGGUAAUACGGAGGGUGCAAGCGUUAUCCGGAUUUACUGGGUUUAAAGGGAGCGCAGGCGGAUUGGUAAGUCAGUGGUGAAAUACCCGUGCUUAACAUGGGAACUGCCAUUGAUACUAUCAGUCUUGAAUGUUGUUGAGGUUUGCGGAAUGGGUCAUGUAGCGGUGAAAUGCAUAGAUAUGACCCGGAACACCUAUUGCGAAGGCAGCAGGCUAAACAAAUAUUGACGCUGAGGCUCGAAAGCGUGGGGAUCAAACAGGAUUAGAUACCCUAGUAGUCC